UCAAGGACAGGUUACCUAUCACUGACAGCAUGAAUGACAAGUCAAGGACAGGUUACCUAUCACUGACAGCAUGAAUGACAAGUCAAGGACAGGUUACCUAUCACUGGCAGCAUGAAUGACAAGUCAAGGACAGGUUACCUAUCACUGACAGCAUGAAUGACAAGUCAAGGACAGGUUACCUAUCACUGGCAGCAUGAAUGACAAGUCAAGGACAGGUUACCUAUCACUGACAGCAUGAAUGACAAGUCAAGGACAGGUUACCUAUCACUGGCAGCAUGAAUGACAAGUCAAGGACAGGUUACCUAUCACUGGCAGCAUGAAUGACAAGUCAAGGACAGGUUACCUAUCACUGGCAGCAUGAAUGACAAGUCAAGGACAGGUUACCUAUCACUGGCAGCAUGAAUGACAAGUCAAGGACAGGUUACCUAUCACUGGCAGCAUGAAUGACAAGUCAAGGACAGGUUACCUAUCACUGGCAGCAUGAAUGACAAGUCAAGGACAGGUUACCUAUCACUGGCAGCAUGAAUGACAAGUCAAGGACAGGUUACCUAUCACUGGCAGCAUGAAUGACAAGUCAAGGACAGGUUACCUAUCACUGACAGCAUGAAUGACAAGUCAAGGACAGGUUACCUAUCACUGACAGCAUGAAUGACAAGUCAAGGACAGGUUACCUAUCACUGACAGCAUGAAUGACAAGUCAAGGACAGGUUACCUAUCACUGACAGCAUGAAUGACAAGUCAAGGACAGGUUACCUAUCACUGACAGCAUGAAUGACAAGUCAAGGACAGGUUACCUAUCACUCAGAUGAAAGCAGUAUCAUUAUUGUUCUUUUUAGUGCCAUUCUAACAUCCCUUUGAAAGCACAGAGCUUUAUUCUGCAUGAAGAGGGGGGAUUGGUGUGAAGAUCAGGCCAUUGAUUUGUGCCCAGUUUCUAAAAACUAGCACAUAGACGAUAUCAACAGAGUGAGAGAGAAAGAAAAAGAAAGAGAGAGAACAAGAGAGAGCGAUGUCACUGCUAAGCAAGUAGUGAAACAUGAUGACACAGCAUUAUCACACCUUAGCAGUGAAACAUGGUGACACAGCAUUAUCACACCCCAGUAGUGAAACAUGGUGACACAGCAUUAUCACACCCCAGUAGUGAAACAUGGUGACACAGCAUUAUCACACCUUAGCAGUGAAACAUGGUGACACAGCAUUAUCACACUUUAGCAGUGAAACAUGGUGACAUAGCAUUAUCACACCUUGGUAGUGAAACAUGGUGACACAGCAUUAUCACACUUUAGCAGUGAAACAUGGUGACACAGCAUUAUCACACCCCAGUAGUGAAACAUGGUGACACAGCAUUAUCACACCUUGGUAGUGAAACAUGAUGACACAGCA
Oncorhynchus keta (chum salmon) is the source of this 1380-nucleotide long non-coding RNA. RefSeq lists it as uncharacterized. Lineage: Eukaryota; Metazoa; Chordata; Actinopteri; Salmoniformes; Salmonidae. The transcript has 3 exons. The record is from RefSeq and is a predicted model, not a curated record.